RNAcentral lists this ribosomal RNA (292 nucleotides) under uncultured bacterium. Its description in RNAcentral is "partial 16S ribosomal RNA". It matches the Rfam family "Bacterial small subunit ribosomal RNA", at positions 775 to 1066 of the family's 1533-position model. The record is from RNAcentral.
GGAUUAGAUACCCUGGUAGUCCACGCCGUAAACGAUGUCUACUAGCCGUUGGGGAACGUGAGUCCUUGGUGGCGCAGCUAACGCACUAAGUAGACCGCCUGGGGAGUACGGCCGCAAGGUUAAAACUCAAAUGAAUUGACGGGGGCCCGCACAAGCGGUGGAGCAUGUGGUUUAAUUCGAUGCAACGCGAAGAACCUUACCAGGUCUUGACAUCCAGAGAACUUUCCAGAGAUGGAUUGGUGCCUUCGGGAACUCUGUGACAGGUGCUGCAUGGCUGUCGUCAGCUCGUGCC